This 703-nucleotide long non-coding RNA is filed under the name Homo sapiens (human). RNAcentral's name for it is "HSALNT0388983". Lineage: Eukaryota; Metazoa; Chordata; Mammalia; Primates; Hominidae. The record is from RNAcentral.
UCAAUCCUCUCAUGUAUGGCUCCCUUAUCUAGGGGACUUUGGCAUGUCAUGUGAUCUCCCUGUGAAUGAGCCAAGACAAGGACUCCCAGCCUUCUGACUGCUAAAUCAUUGCUCUCUUCAUUACAUCAUAUUGUCACAGCUGUUUUGCAAGAUGACUAAUUUAUGAGAAUAGUUCAAACAACGUAUCUGGAAGUAGAUUUUUAAAAAGUACAACUUCAUUUUAUUCUCCAAAUAAAAGACUGCUGAAGCUUCUGAGAAAAAGAAAAAAGAGUGAAGGAUCAUCUUUGAUCAUGCAGUGAGCUGAUUCCAAAAUGUGGACAAAAAGCAGACUCAAAGGCAAUGGUUCCGAGAAACAGUGAAUGUCACAAGGAGACACCUGGGCUCUUUAUAAAGAGGUCUCUCUCAGCCUCCCUGCGCUUAGGGACAGUGGACAGCACUGCAGCACUGCACUUGGGGCCAUUUUAAACAGCGAAGUCACCAAAACCAAGCAAAAGAAUGCUAAAAGCACAGUACUAAACAGACCAUGGAAAAGAUAUAUGUACAGCAUGAGAAGGUAAAGUGUCUGUCUGACCUCAGUGGGGAGCAUAAGCACUGGAUGACUCAACUUUUUCACUUCUCUGUGCAUGUCCAAAAAUGACAAAAAUGACUCUGUGGAAGUACUCUGUGUGUUGAUUUGGGGGUUAAAAUACAUUUGAGCAGCUGG